Molecule: long non-coding RNA, 1839 nt
Organism: Vidua macroura (Pin-tailed whydah)
Lineage: Eukaryota; Metazoa; Chordata; Aves; Passeriformes; Viduidae
Exons: 2
Source: RefSeq, a predicted model, not a curated record
GCCCCGGUCGGCCACGCUCCGCGGGGAGAAGGGGCAAUUCCGGCGGUGGGGGGCGGCCCACGGCCCACGUUACCUCCACCCACUGGGCCUCGGAGUCCCGCUCGGGCGGCCGCACCUGCAGGCGGGCGGAGACGCUCUGCUGCAGCAGGGCCCGGGCCCGUGCCGGCCGCGCCGCCGCCAUGGCGAGCCCGCAGCGCUGAGGGCGGGGCCGGCUCACGCCUUUCCGGCCCCGGCCCCGGCUGGAGCCCGCGGGUCACGGGCGGCGGAGAGCGUAACGCGGCUCCUUGUGUGGAUGGUUAAACGGGGGUUUCUGAUCUGCCCUCUCUAUGGAGGGGGCUGAAUACAAGCUUUAGAACAGGAUUAAACGAAGUAUUUCUACAGCUCUACUUACCGAUGCCCCAAUAGCUAGCAGGAAGCGGGCUUUGGUUUCUUAUUUUGAUGAGGAAUGAAAGAUCUCCUUUUCUUUUGAUGGGGAAAUGUUACAUGCUUGUGAUAAGAGCAGCAUGCUGUAUAGUUUAUGCAUGGAAAAGAAAAUCUGAAUAUUGUUUGUUAUUUCUUUUGUUCAUUGCUUGUUUGUGUUUCAGGUGGCUGAGAUCAGUCUAUGAAGUUGGCAUAUUUCUCUUCAAUGAUACUGCAUUGGAGCAGAGGGAGCAGAAAACGCAGUUAAAAGGGAUCUGGGUUUUUGGCUACCCUGAUACUCCUUGAUACCCUGAUACUCCUUGAACAGCUCCAAAACUGGAAGAGUUGUGUCUUUCUCCCAUACAGGAAUUCUGACAGAGACAAGUUUUGAACAAUACUGCCUUCAUUCAAGUCAGGAUAGAAUUAUGUGGAAUUCAGUAUCUCUCUCCAAAUUCAUUUUAUGACUGGAGAUUUCAUUUUAACAGUGUUUAAAAAUAUUGUGUUUUUUACAAAUAAAAAAGUUAAUAUAUAGCAGUGUGAGUAAGAAGCUGACUUUUAGUACUUGGAGUCAAUCGUAGAGUAAGAUUACCAAAGAUCCCUAUUGAACAGCAAAGGCCAAUAUGCACUUCUGAAUAAUCAAUGUUACACAUAGGGGUAUACCCAACUUCCGUCUGUCAUUUUAAAAGAAGAUUCUUGAUGUGUGUUCAACAAGGUUGUUCUUCCCAAAGCAAACUUUUCUGGAAGAAUGGGAAAUUGCACUAGGUGGUUAGUGUAUGAAGUAGCUCAUUUUCUGUUAGCUGUAUGAUAUGUUCUUAUUCAAACUCAGCUAAUUUUAAGUACCUUCUGUUCAUUUACUUGAAAGCUGUAUCCCCAGACUCAUUAAGAAGAGUUUAAUGAGGUAGAAAUCCAUUUAAAAUGAGAGGGUUUUCCAUAUAUAUUUGCGAUAUAAAUUGAUUGUUAAGGAAAAUAGAUUUUUCUACAGUCUGAGCAAAUUAUACUAAGCAGAUUAUAGAGGGCUAUAAGAAUAUUGCUUGUUAUUUGGUGCUGUGCCAUUAUUUACACCAGGGUAUGAUGGAGAACAUUUAUUCAUGUGCAAGUUACAAUACAAAUGCCUGUGAAACAUUGCAUAGAAAAAAUGGGUAUGACAUAAUUGUUUAUGUAUGGAUUCUUGGUGGAAUUAUGUCAUUUUUUCCUUGGGAAGUCAAGUAAUUCUGUUGCACCUUGAAUUUCUUGACUCUUACUGGCUUAUUGUUAGAUUAAGGGCCACUCUUUUUAGGCCAAGGAAUGAUAGUAAAUUUGUUGGAUAAAUUGUAGGUGUGGAUUUGGAUUUGACUGAGGAUUUUAUAUUAAAAAAAACACCUCCUGACAUCUAAAGAAUAUAUCCAUGCAUAAAAUAUAUUGGUAUUUUUAUCAGGUACUAUAUAAAGACAUUUUUCUGCA